This 1457-nucleotide long non-coding RNA is filed under the name Phoenix dactylifera (date palm). RNAcentral's name for it is "long non-coding RNA (PDAC_LNC014633)". Lineage: Eukaryota; Viridiplantae; Streptophyta; Magnoliopsida; Arecales; Arecaceae. The record is from RNAcentral.
UAUUUACCUUGUACUAGCAUUUUGCAUGUGUUUUGCAUGUGCUCAUAUAAAAAAAAACCAGAAAGAAAGAAAGAAAAGAAGGCAGGGGAGGGGGGAGUGUGUAUUUAAGAGGAGAUCGAAUUCGUUGGAGAUUGUUCUGGGAGAAGGAAGAAAGAGUUUUUCGGUGGGGUUUCCUUUUGUGCGGUUUCAUGGAGUUCCAAUAUACAUGGAGAUCUUUAGGUUUUAAAAAUUUGAUCUAAUUAAAAGAUUAACUUUGUUAAAAGGUUUAAAAAAGUCAAAUUUCUAGGAUAGAAAAUAAGGAUUCAUAGCAGAUGAACAAAAUGUGGUAAACGUUUCUUUUCCUUUAUAUAGCAUAUUUAAAAGACUUAGGUUUUUCUCCCUCUACCAAAUUUAUUAUGCACACUUUUUUUUAAAAUCCAACUACAAGGAGUCCAGUUACGGUAAGUCUGGCUACAAACUUGGUCAUUAUAAUAGUAAAGACAUACAUACAUACAUACACACAAAAACAUAUAUAUGCAUAUAAAAAAGCAUCAAGAAAGAAUAGAAGGCUAUCAAAAUAACAUAGUCCAUAAUUUACACGAUAACUUUAACUUUUAUAAGCUCAUCAUUACUCGUUAUUCCAAGACCAUAAUCCAUAUUUUAUAUUUUAAUAUGAAUAUCAAUAGACAACAAAUAGACCCUCCCCCCAUUAGAGGUAUCGAGGGAGUACCUAGAGUGUUUUUAUUUUUUUUAAAAAAAUAAGAAACUUAACAUAAGUACCCGACAUAUCUAAGAAGUAUUCAAAGAGUAUCAGUAUCUAACACAGAUAUGAUACAACAUGCAAUAUGAAGUAUCAGUGCUUUCUAGGCCUUUAACCAGCCCAUGGCCCACCAGAAUAUUACUACCAUUCUAGAAGCCUUUGGCUAAGGAAUAGAUUUUGAUGGAUUCUCCUAACCAUGAUAACCUGCCAGGUCUAUAAGCCACACCUGAGCUGAUCCCUACAUAAUGUGGUUGGUCUCAAGCAAUCCAAACAAACCCACUUAAUUAUAAAGACUUCUACCCAAAACCAUUUAUUCCAGGCAGGUUUACAAACAUUUGUUGGUCCAGUUCAGAUAUUGCACAUUUGAGUACAUGGUAGUUGAACACUCCCAAUUCGACUCAAACCUUAAGCUAGAAAGGACCCCAACUCAAACCUGCCAGCGUUUUGAACAUGUACAACUUAUGUCUAACUCGUGGAUCUGAAGCCAAUUUAGGUAAGUUUCUGGUUGGGCUGGAUCCUGACCAACCCUACCUACCAAGAUACGCCAUUUUGGUACCAGGCCCCGAACCAGUACCACCCUAUCACUGUGUUAGUAUGCUUGAUACAAGGGCCGGUGUGGUGUAUUGAGUGUUGGUACAUCCCCCAUACCGUGUACCGGUAUCGAACCAUUUUUCAUGACUAGAAUCUACAAAAGGCUGCCUGGAGACAUCAUACAAGG